GACGAACCGUGCGAACGUUAUUCGGAAUCACUGGGCUUAAAGCGCGUGUAGGCGGGCCGGCACGUCCGAGGCUGAAAUCCCCCGGCUCAACCGGGGAAGGGGCCCGGAUACGACCGGCCUGGAGGGGGGUAGGGGGCGCCGGAACUUCCGGUGGAGCGGUGAAAUGCGUUGAGAUCGGAAGGAACGCCCGUGGCGAAAGCGGGCGCCUGGACCCCACCUGACGCUGAGACGCGAAAGCCAGGGGAGCGAACGGG
Molecule: ribosomal RNA, 254 nt
Filed under: uncultured bacterium
Lineage: Bacteria
Description: partial 16S ribosomal RNA
Rfam family: Bacterial small subunit ribosomal RNA
Source: RNAcentral